AUUGAACGCUGGCGGCAGGCUUAACACAUGCAAGUCGAGCGGAGCGAGGGUGCUUGCACCUUAGCUUAGCGGCGGACGGGUGAGUAAUGCUUAGGAAUCUGCCUAUUAGUGGGGGACAACAUUCCGAAAGGGAUGCUAAUACCGCAUACGCCCUACGGGGGAAAGCAGGGGAUCUUCGGACCUUGCGCUAAUAGAUGAGCCUAAGUCGGAUUAGCUAGUUGGUGGGGUAAAGGCCUACCAAGGCGACGAUCUGUAGCGGGUCUGAGAGGAUGAUCCGCCACACUGGGACUGAGACACGGCCCAGACUCCUACGGGAGGCAGCAGUGGGGAAUAUUGGACAAUGGGGGGAACCCUGAUCCAGCCAUGCCGCGUGUGUGAAGAAGGCCUUUUGGUUGUAAAGCACUUUAAGCGAGGAGGAGGCGCUCUAGGAUAAUACCCUAGAUGCGUGGACGUACUCGCAGAUAGCC
Molecule: ribosomal RNA, 467 nt
Filed under: Acinetobacter sp. oral taxon C51
Lineage: Bacteria; Pseudomonadati; Pseudomonadota; Gammaproteobacteria; Moraxellales; Moraxellaceae
Description: bacterial SSU rRNA
Rfam family: Bacterial small subunit ribosomal RNA
Source: RNAcentral